AGCGAACGCUGGCGGCAGGCUUAACACAUGCAAGUCGAGCGCCCGUAGCAAUACGGGAGCGGCAGACGGGUGAGUAACGCGUGGGAACGUACCCUUUGGUUCGGAACAACACAGGGAAACUUGUGCUAAUACCGGAUAAGUCCGUAAGGAGAAAGAUUUAUCGCCAAAGGAUCGGCCCGCGUCUGAUUAGCUAGUUGGUGAGGUAAUGGCUCACCAAGGCUACGAUCAGUAGCNGGUCUGAGAGGAUGAUCAGCCACACUGGGACUGAGACACGGCCCAGACUCCUACGGGAGGCAGCAGUGGGGAAUAUUGGACAAUGGGCGAAAGCCUGAUCCAGCCAUGCCGCGUGAGUGAUGAAGGCCUUAGGGUUGUAAAGCUCUUUCAGGCGGGGAAGAUAAUGACGGUACCCGCAGAAGAAGCCCCGGCUAACUUCGUGCCAGCAGCCGC
This 447-nucleotide ribosomal RNA is filed under the name uncultured bacterium. Its description in RNAcentral is "bacterial SSU rRNA". It matches the Rfam family "Bacterial small subunit ribosomal RNA", at positions 29 to 518 of the family's 1533-position model. The record is from RNAcentral.